CAACCCUGGUGGCGAGUGGCGAACGGGUGAGUAAUACAUCGGAACGUGUCCUGUAGUGGGGGAUAGCCCGGCGAAAGCCGGAUUAAUACCGCAUACGCUCUACGGAGGAAAGGGGGGGAUCUUAGGACCUCCCGCUACAGGGGCGGCCGAUGGCAGAUUAGCUAGUUGGUGGGGUAAAGGCCUACCAAGGCGACGAUCUGUAGCUGGUCUGAGAGGACGACCAGCCACACUGGGACUGAGACACGGCCCAGACUCCUACGGGAGGCAGCAGUGGGGAAUUUUGGACAAUGGGGGCAACCCUGAUCCAGCAAUGCCGCGUGUGUGAAGAAGGCCUUCGGGUUGUAAAGCACUUUUGUCCGGAAAGAAAACGCCGUGGUUAAUACCCGUGGCGGAUGACGGUACCGGAAGAAUAAGCACCGGCUAACUACGUGCCAGCAGCCGCGGUAAUACGUAGGGUGCAAGCGUUAAUCGGAAUUACUGGGCGUAAAGCGUGCGCAGGCGGUCCGCUAAGACAGAUGUGAAAUCCCCGGGCUUAACCUGGGAACUGCAUUUGUGACUGGCGGGCUAGAGUAUGGCAGAGGGGGGUAGAAUUCCACGUGUAGCAGUGAAAUGCGUAGAGAUGUGGA
Molecule: ribosomal RNA, 626 nt
Filed under: Paraburkholderia fungorum
Lineage: Bacteria; Pseudomonadati; Pseudomonadota; Betaproteobacteria; Burkholderiales; Burkholderiaceae
Description: bacterial SSU rRNA
Rfam family: Bacterial small subunit ribosomal RNA
Source: RNAcentral